GGCGAACGGGUGAGUAAUAUAUCGGAACGUACCCAGGAGUGGGGGAUAACGUAGCGAAAGUUACGCUAAUACCGCAUACGUCCUAAGGGAGAAAGCGGGGGAUCGCAAGACCUCGUGCUCAUGGAGCGGCCGAUAUCUGAUUAGCUAGUUGGUGGGGUAAAAGCCUACCAAGGCAACGAUCAGUAGCUGGUCUGAGAGGACGACCAGCCACACUGGAACUGAGACACGGUCCAGACUCCUACGGGAGGCAGCAGUGGGGAAUUUUGGACAAUGGGGGCAACCCUGAUCCAGCAAUGCCGCGUGAGUGAAGAAGGCCCUCGGGUUGUAAAGCUCUUUUGUCAGGGAAGAAAAGGUUGGGGCUAAUAUCCCGGACUCAUGACGGUACCUGAAGAAUAAGCACCGGCUAACUACGUGCCAGCAGCCGCGGUAAUACGUAGGGUGCAAGCGUUAAUCGGAAUUACUGGGCGUAAAGCGUGCGCAGGCGGUUUUGUAAGACUGUCGUGAAAUCCCCGGGCUUAACCUGGGAAUGGCGAUGGUGACUGCAAGGCUAGAGUUUGGCAGAGGGGGGUAGAAUUCCACGUGUAGCAGUGAAAUGCGUAGAUAUGUGGAGGAACACCGAUGGCGAAGGCAGCCCCCUGGGUCAAAACUGACGCUCAUGCACGAAAGCGUGGGGAGCAAACAGGAUUAGAUACCCUGGUAGUCCACGCCCUAAACGAUGUCUACUAGUUGUCGGGUCUUAAUUGACUUGGUAACGCAGCUAACGCGUGAAGUAGACCGCCUGGGGAGUACGGUCGCAAGAUUAAAACUCAAAGGAAUUGACGGGGACCCGCACAAGCGGUGGAUGAUGUGGAUUAAUUCGAUGCAACGCGAAAAACCUUACCUACCCUUGACAUGGCAGGAAUCCCGGAGAGAUCUGGGAGUGCUCGAAAGAGAACCUGCACACAGGUGCUGCAUGGCUGUCGUCAGCUCGUGUCGUGAGAUGUUGGGUUAAGUCCCGCAACGAGCGCAACCCUUGUCAUUAGUUGCUACGAAAGGGCACUCUAAUGAGACUGCCGGUGACAAACCGGAGGAAGGUGGGGAUGACGUCAAGUCCUCAUGGCCCUUAUGGGUAGGGCUUCACACGUCAUACAAUGGUACAUACAGAGGGCCGCCAACCCGCGAGGGGGAGCUAAUCCCAGAAAGUGUAUCGUAGUCCGGAU
RNAcentral lists this ribosomal RNA (1199 nucleotides) under uncultured bacterium. Its description in RNAcentral is "bacterial SSU rRNA". It matches the Rfam family "Bacterial small subunit ribosomal RNA", at positions 97 to 1298 of the family's 1533-position model. The record is from RNAcentral.